Non-coding RNA from Otolemur garnettii (small-eared galago), 74 nucleotides. NCBI's taxonomy places the organism in Eukaryota, Metazoa, Chordata, Mammalia, Primates, Galagidae. The record is from Rfam.
GGGCCUGUGGCUCAAAGGGGUGGGGCACUGGCCCCAUAUGCCAGAGGUGGUGGGUUCAAACCCAGCCCUGGCCA